Molecule: long non-coding RNA, 210 nt
Filed under: Elaeis guineensis (African oil palm)
Lineage: Eukaryota; Viridiplantae; Streptophyta; Magnoliopsida; Arecales; Arecaceae
Description: long non-coding RNA (EGUI_LNC030528)
Source: RNAcentral
CUGAUGGAAAUAUUGGAGCAGCAUGACCGACCCCACACCCUCAAGUCAGAAGUCUGAUGUAGGAGAAUGGGUAUAACAAGGAUCCUAUCAACAAGCUGGCCAUAAAUAGUUGACUAACAUCGUGAACCCUCCAACUCCUACAAUCAGCAGUGAGCAACUCAUGGACUCAUAAGCCAUCAGCCAUCUCCAUGUUGACAUAGGCAGGCCAAC